RNAcentral lists this long non-coding RNA (781 nucleotides) under Homo sapiens (human). Its description in RNAcentral is "HSALNT0122232". Lineage: Eukaryota; Metazoa; Chordata; Mammalia; Primates; Hominidae. The record is from RNAcentral.
CAAAAAGCUAGAUGACAGUGGAACCAUGCAGAGAUCAAAAACGGUGCAACAGGAAACUAGGAAAGCAGAAAACAGAAAUAGUGUAAUUUUGUAACAUUAACAGGGUCUCCAGAAGCUGUGAGUGGGAUGAGACACUACCACUUCCAACAGUGCGAUGGGCUCUGUGAUCUGGCACACCGGACCUCUCAUGAGCCCUUAAAACAGAGAACUUUUGCUGGCAGCAGGAACGGCCAGUCAGAGGGAUUCCAAACCUGAAAAGGUUUUGUUCAGCCCCUGGUGACUUGAAAGUUGAGGCAGCCAGGUGAUGAGGAAGGCAGCGGCCUUCAGGAUCUGGGAGCAGAGCAGCCCCCAGCUGACAGCCAGCAGGGGAACAGGGAGCAGACCUCAGUCCUACAACCACAAGCAACUGGAUCCUGCCAACCUGAAGGAAGCUGGAGAUGGAUUCCUGCCCAGAUUCUCCAGGUUUUGUCAUGCGCGUCCGUGUGAAGAGACCACCAAACAAGCUUUGUGUGAGCAACAUGGCUGUUUAUUUCACCUGGGUGCAGGCAGUCUGAGUUUGAAAAGAGAAUCAGCAAAUGGUGGUGGGAUUAUCAUUAGUUCUUACAGGUUUUGGGAUAGGCGGUAGAGUUAGGAGCAAUGUUUUGUGGGCAGCGGGGGGAUCUCACAAAGUACAUUCUCAAGGGUGAGGAGAAUUACAAAGAACCUUCUUAAGCGUGGGGGAGAUUAAAAAGAACCUUCUUAAGGGUAGGGGAGAUUACAAAAUACAUUGAUCAGUUAGGGU